Molecule: unclassified non-coding RNA, 334 nt
Filed under: soil metagenome
Description: partial contains 5.8S ribosomal RNA, internal transcribed spacer 2, and large subunit ribosomal RNA
Rfam family: 5.8S ribosomal RNA (bases 1-120)
Source: RNAcentral
GAUGAAGAACGUAGCAAAAUGCGAUAAGUAAUGUGAAUUGCAGAAUUCAGUGAAUCAUCGAAUCUUUGAACGCACAUUGCGCCCGCCAGUAUUCUGGCGGGCAUGCCUGUUCGAGCGUCAUUUCAACCAUCAAGCCCCAGGCUUGUGUUGGGGACCUGCGGCUGCCGCAGGCCCUGAAAACCAGUGGCGGGCUCGCUAGUCACACCGAGCGUAGUAGCAUACACAUCGCUCAGGGCGUGCUGCGGGUUCCGGCCGUUAAACCCCUUUUUACCCAAGGUUGACCUCGGAUCAGGUAGGAAGACCCGCUGAACUUAAGCAUAUCAAUAGCGGAGGA